AACUUAAAGGAAUUGACGGGGCCCGCACAAGCGGAGGAGCAUGUGGUUUAAUUCGAAGCAACGCGCAGAACCUUACCAACCCUUGACAUGGGUAUCGCGAUUUCCAGAGAUGGAUUUCUUCAGUUCGGCUGGAUACCACACAGGUGCUGCAUGGCUGUCGUCAGCUCGUGUCGUGAGAUGUUCGGUUAAGUCCGGCAACGAGCGCAACCCACGUCUUUAGUUGCCAGCAUUCAGUUGGGCACUCUAAAGAAACUGCCGAUGAUAAGUCGGAGGAAGGUGUGGAUGACGUCAAGUCCUCAUGGCCCUUACGGGUUGGGCUACACACGUGCUUCAAUGGCAGUGACAAUGGGUUAAUCCCUAAAAGCUGUCUCAGUUCGGAUUGGGGUCUGCAACUCGACCCCAUGAAGUCGGAAUCGCUAGUAAUCGCGUAACAGCAUGACGCGGUGAAUACGUUCCCGGGCCUU
RNAcentral lists this ribosomal RNA (464 nucleotides) under uncultured Thioclava sp. RNAcentral's name for it is "bacterial SSU rRNA". It matches the Rfam family "Bacterial small subunit ribosomal RNA", at positions 898 to 1382 of the family's 1533-position model. The record is from RNAcentral. Lineage: Bacteria; Pseudomonadati; Pseudomonadota; Alphaproteobacteria; Rhodobacterales; Paracoccaceae.